CGGACCUCGCGGCAGAGAGCAUCUCCGAGCGCUGGCCCUCACGUGACGUCGUCGUUUGUGAUCCUUGACAUGGAGGCCAUAUAUGGCAGGUGCUAUGUCGCAGAUGAGGAAACUGAGGCCCAGAGAGGUUGGGGGACUUGUCCAUAAUCCCACAACGUACAAGUGGUGGUUUACAUCUGAACCAGAACUUUCUGACGCAAAAGGCAGUGCUUUUAGCCACAGCCCCACCCGCCAUGUAACAGGGAAUCCGAAUGUUGGGGCCAAACAAAGAGCCCCACCCACAAGGCUCCGAAAGGAAACUGGUGGACAUUUGCUUUUCUUAACCUUGGACCUUACUCAUCCUAGCUGGGAGCACUGACACUGCAGUAAAGGUCCGCAAAGCCCAAGACAAAGACAGGCCGGCCUGUCCGUUGACGUCACAGGUUGGUCACGUCCAGAACGAACGGGUCGGGCUAAGUCAGCAGUUCCUGCCUGAAGCCGCACAGUAGAACCCUAUGAAACGUACCUGUGCCUGACUCUUCCCCCAGAGAUUCUUCUUGAAUCCAUGUGAGCGGAGGGCCGAACAGCACUGACUUUUUUUUUUUUUAAUGUUUUAUUAAUUUCUGAGACCGAGAGAGACAGAGCACGAGCACUGACUUUUUAAAACUUUUUAUUAACGUAUCAUACACACAAAAAGCCCACAGGUGCACAGCUCCACGGAACUUUGCAAACAGAGGACACUCAGCAUCUGCAUCGAAGGGAGGAUCUUAGCGGCCCUCCCCCACUUUUGCACCCCUCUUUGCCCCCAUCUCUACACUACCACCCACCUCCUCCUGCCAAGGAGGGGUGACCACUCCCCUGACCUCUAACAGUAAAGGUUGUUUUGAAUGUC
Long non-coding RNA from Neofelis nebulosa (Clouded leopard), 871 nucleotides. RefSeq lists it as uncharacterized. The transcript has 2 exons. The record is from RefSeq and is a predicted model, not a curated record. Lineage: Eukaryota; Metazoa; Chordata; Mammalia; Carnivora; Felidae.